RNAcentral lists this ribosomal RNA (490 nucleotides) under uncultured bacterium. RNAcentral describes it as "bacterial SSU rRNA". It matches the Rfam family "Bacterial small subunit ribosomal RNA", at positions 110 to 601 of the family's 1533-position model. The record is from RNAcentral.
GUAACACGUAUGUAACCUACCCUUAUCAGGGGAUAGCCUCUCGAAAGAGAGAUUAAGCCCGCAUAACAUCAUAGUAUAGCAUUAUACAAUGAUCAAAUAUUUAUAGGAUAAGGAUGGGCAUGCGGAACAUUAGCUAGUUGGUAAGGUAACGGCUUACCAAGGUACGAUGUCUAGGGGAUCUGAGAGGAUGACCCCCACACUGGUACUGAGACAACGGACCAGACUCCUACGGGAGGCAGCCAGUCACAGGAAUCAAUUCGGUCAAUGGGCGGAAGCCUGAACCAGCCAUGCCGCGUGCAGGAAGACGGCCUACGGGUUGUAAACUGCUUUUGCAGGGGAAUAAACCCCCGUUCAUGAACGGGGUUGAAUGUACUCUGAGAAUAAGGAUCGGCUAACUCCGUGCCAGCAGCCGCGGUAAUACGGAGGAUCCGAGCGUUAUCCGGAUUCUAUCUGGGUUCUAACAGGGUCGCCGUACGUGGCUCUCAUAAAG